RNAcentral lists this ribosomal RNA (837 nucleotides) under Triticum aestivum (bread wheat). RNAcentral's name for it is "partial small subunit ribosomal RNA". The record is from RNAcentral. Lineage: Eukaryota; Viridiplantae; Streptophyta; Magnoliopsida; Poales; Poaceae.
GGGCACUGGGACCCGUGUGCGGGGUUAUCGUGGUUGAACGUGUGCCUCAAGCGCUCCACUUUGCUGGGCCCUGUGACGCCGAUGACCUCGAAGCGGAAUUCAGUCGUCGUCUCUGUCUCGUCUUGCUCCCUACCGAGGAGCCGCCGACUGCCACUACCCCACCUUCUUAAUGGACGGAUCAAGAUUAAUUCUGAGUAAUGAACAAACCAAAAGUCAAGUGCAAAUUAGGAAAAGUUGACACGGUGUAUCGCCUUUACAUUCCUUUUUGUUUCUACGUAUACUGUAUAACUUUUGCAACGAAGAACCUAUAUAGCUGUGUAAUCUAGAUCGUUCGUUGAUUUAACAACAACCAAUGAGGAUUAGAACUCAUGUGUACAAGAGAAAAUCAUAAGGUCACAAUAUGUAUGCACAUAUUUCUAGCAAUUCCACAAACAUAUGACAAAUGUAGAUGAAAACAGUAAUAUUAUGUUGAUAGUGUGCUAGCAUGAUGUUAUCAUCUGAUCUGCCAAGUUCAUGAUCAGUGUAGUUUGGCCAAUGCUUUGUCGAAAUCAAUCACAAGUCCUUAACUACUCAUUACUUUUUGCGGGAAGGGUGCUUAACUAAUUGAAGUGGCUGAACCAAAUUAUUAAUCAACUAUGUUCCCUCAGGGAGGGCACCUGAGUGAACCGAUCGAGUUGACGUUCCCUCAAAGGCUCAUUUGAGUGUACACACUACCAGAGAAUGUUUCCUGGGAAAACACUCCCAACAAAUGCUCAGGAAUUGCCAUGCUAUAACAAAUAUAUUGCCUAAUGUAGAUUCUAAUAACUGAAGGACACAUGACCUCGUGGAUAAAUAUAU